GACGAACGCUGGCGGCGUGCCUAAUACAUGCAAGUCGAACGCAGUGGGGACGGGUGAGUAACACGUGGGUAACCUCCCAUCAGAGGGGAUAACACUUGGAAACAGGUGCUAAACCGAUACUGAUGGAUGGACCCGCGGUGCAUUAGCUAGUUGGUGGGGUAACGGCUCACCAAGGCCACGUUGCAUAGCCGACCUGGAGGGGGAUUCGGCCACACGGGGACUAAAACACGGCCCAAACUCCAACGGGGGGCAGCGGUAGGGAAUCUUCGGCAAUGGACGAAAGUCUGACCGAGCAACGCCGGGUGAGUGAAGAAGGUUUUCGGAUCGUAAAACUCUGUUGUAAGGGAAGCGGUAUCUAACCAGAAAGCCACGGCUAACUACGUGCCAGCGGCCGCGGUAAUA
This 402-nucleotide ribosomal RNA is filed under the name uncultured bacterium. Its description in RNAcentral is "partial 16S ribosomal RNA". It matches the Rfam family "Bacterial small subunit ribosomal RNA", at positions 28 to 525 of the family's 1533-position model. The record is from RNAcentral.